GCCCCUCGUGUGGCAUGGACUGGGUCCAACUUAAUGAGGGGCUCCAGCCUCAUGUCUUCGGUGCCAGUGGUUGCCCAUCUGCCGGUUCUAUCCUCACUCGUUGGGACAAAA
Small nucleolar RNA from Tachyglossus aculeatus (Australian echidna), 111 nucleotides. RefSeq annotates it as small nucleolar RNA SNORA57. Lineage: Eukaryota; Metazoa; Chordata; Mammalia; Monotremata; Tachyglossidae. The record is from RefSeq and is a predicted model, not a curated record. The transcript has a single exon.